RNAcentral lists this ribosomal RNA (492 nucleotides) under uncultured bacterium. Its description in RNAcentral is "partial 16S ribosomal RNA". It matches the Rfam family "Bacterial small subunit ribosomal RNA", at positions 29 to 507 of the family's 1533-position model. The record is from RNAcentral.
AGUGAACGCUGGCGGUAGGCCUAACACAUGCAAGUCGAACGGCAGCACAGUAAGGGCUUGCUCUUACGGGUGGCGAGUGGCGGACGUGUGAGGAAUACAUCGGAAUCUACUUUUUCGUGGGGGAUAACGUAGGGAAACUUACUCUAAUACCGCAUACGACCUACGGGUGAAAGCAGGGGAUCUUCGGACCUUGCGCGAUUGAAUGAGCCGAUGUCGGAUUAGCUAGUUGGCGGGGUAAAGGCCCACCAAGGCGACGAUCCGUAGCUGGUCUGAGAGGAUGAUCAGCCACACUGGAACUGAGACACGGUCCAGACUCCUACGGGAGGCAGCAGUGGGGAAUAUUGGACAAUGGGCGCAAGCCUGAUCCAGCCAUACCGCGUGGGUGAAGAAGGCCUUCGGGUUGUAAAGCCCUUUUGUUGGGAAAGAAAAGCAGCAGGUUAAUACCCCGCUGUUCUGACGGUACCCAAAGAAUAAGCACCGGCUAACUUCGUG